GAUGAACGCUGGCGGCGUGCUUAACACAUGCAAGUCGAACGGUGAAGGCGGAGCUUGCUCUGCUGGAUCAGUGGCGAACGGGUGAGUAACACGUGAGCAAUCUGCCCCUGACUCUGGGAUAAGCGCUGGAAACGGCGUCUAAUACUGGAUACGAGCUGCGAAGGCAUCUUCAGCAGCUGGAAAGAACUUCGGUCAGGGAUGAGCUCGCGGCCUAUCAGCUUGUUGGUGAGGUAACGGCUCACCAAGGCGUCGACGGGUAGCCGGCCUGAGAGGGUGACCGGCCACACUGGGACUGAGACACGGCCCAGACUCCUACGGGAGGCAGCAGUGGGGAAUAUUGCACAAUGGGCGAAAGCCUGAUGCAGUAACGCCGCGUGAGGGACGACGGCCUGCGGGUUGUAAACCUCUUUUAGCAGGGAAGAAGCGAAAGUGACGGUACCUGCAGAAAAAGCGCCGGCUAACUACGUG
This 468-nucleotide ribosomal RNA is filed under the name uncultured bacterium. RNAcentral describes it as "partial 16S ribosomal RNA". It matches the Rfam family "Bacterial small subunit ribosomal RNA", at positions 28 to 507 of the family's 1533-position model. The record is from RNAcentral.